GAUGAACGCUGGCGGCGUGCCUAAUACAUGCAAGUCGAGCGAACGGACGAGAAGCUUGCUUCUCUGAUGUUAUCGGCGGACGGGUGAGUAACACGUGGAUAACCUACCUAUAAGACUGGGAUAACUUCGGGAAACCGGAGCUAAUACCGGAUAAUAUUUUGAACCGCAUGGUUCAAAAGUGAAAGACGGUCUUGCUGUCACUUAUAGAUGGAUCCGCGCUGCAUUAGCUAGUUGGUAAGGUAACGGCUUACCAAGGCAACGAUGCAUAGCCGACCUGAGAGGGUGAUCGGCCACACUGGAACUGAGACACGGUCCAGACUCCUACGGGAGGCAGCAGUAGGGAAUCGGCCGCAAUGGGCGAAAGCCUGACGGAGCAACGCCGCGUGAGUGAUGAAGGUCUUCGGAUCGUAAAACUCUGUUAUUAGGGAAGAACAUAUGUGUAAGUAACUGUGCACAUCUUGACGGUACCUAAUCAGAAAGCCACGGCUAACUACGUG
This 497-nucleotide ribosomal RNA is filed under the name uncultured bacterium. RNAcentral describes it as "partial 16S ribosomal RNA". It matches the Rfam family "Bacterial small subunit ribosomal RNA", at positions 28 to 507 of the family's 1533-position model. The record is from RNAcentral.